This 252-nucleotide ribosomal RNA is filed under the name uncultured Mollicutes bacterium. Its description in RNAcentral is "partial 16S ribosomal RNA". It matches the Rfam family "Bacterial small subunit ribosomal RNA", at positions 524 to 776 of the family's 1533-position model. The record is from RNAcentral. Lineage: Bacteria; Bacillati; Mycoplasmatota; Mollicutes.
UACGUAGGGGGCGAGCGUUAUCCGGAUUUAUUGGGCGUAAAGCGUGUGUAGGCGGUUUGUUAAGUUUAAGAUUAAAGCCUGGAGCUCAACUCCAGUUCGUCUUAAAAACUGGCAGACUAGAGUGCGGUAGAGGCAAACGGAAUUUCUAGUGUAGCGGUGAAAUGCGUAGAUAUUAGAAGGAACACCAGUGGCGAAAGCGGUUUGCUGGGCCGUUACUGACGCUGAGGCACGAAAGCGUGGGGAGCAAAUAGG